AAAAAAGGAAGAGACCGACCAAGUCGCCUGGAUCAAACUGACCAGGACAACCCUUGGAAAUCAGAGUAGCUAUGUCUGUAGGCCUUCUAACUGGACAAUGAAUGAACGACGAAGUCGGGCAGAAACACCAA
Molecule: long non-coding RNA, 131 nt
Organism: Xenia sp. Carnegie-2017
Lineage: Eukaryota; Metazoa; Cnidaria; Anthozoa; Malacalcyonacea; Xeniidae
Exons: 2
Source: RefSeq, a predicted model, not a curated record